This 552-nucleotide long non-coding RNA is filed under the name Ananas comosus (pineapple). RNAcentral's name for it is "long non-coding RNA (ACOM_LNC019515)". Lineage: Eukaryota; Viridiplantae; Streptophyta; Magnoliopsida; Poales; Bromeliaceae. The record is from RNAcentral.
AGGUAGCAUGCGACCCGCUUCGUUUAUUUCUUUUAGAAAUAAAUUUUGUCACCCGCUUCGUUGAUUUCUUUACUAAUUUAAAAUUUAUGAAUCAAAUACUGUGACGAUAAAAGUUAACGAGGGUACAAUAAAGACGUUACUGCUAAGAAUACCAAAAAAUAGUACUUUCAGUCCAAUUAAUUUUUUAAUUUUUUUAUUUGUAAAUUUUACCUUGAUGAUAAUAGAAAAUUAUUAUUCAUCUUUUUUGAUACUGUAAUGAGCAUUGGUUUUAUUUUAAACUGAUUUAUUCAUUUUACUUAUUAAAUUUAAAUAUUUUUAGAAGGAAAUAUAUUUUAAUUUUGUUCUCUAAUUCAUUCUUUAAUUUUUAAUUAUUCAGUGCUGAGAUAAAUAAGAUUUAAAAAUAUUAAUACGUAAGAGGAAAAAAAGUAACGUUAAUAAUUAUAAUAAUUUAUUGUUGUAUUAUCUUUUUGCCGUAUCGCGUGGGACUUGAUCUUAACUGGUAUUACUUUAUUUCACCAACUUGCUAUGAUUAUUAUUUUUAGUAUUAUUCUU